AGGAGAAAGAAGCAAAUAGUGUGCAGAGGAAGAGAAAAUAGAGAUGUCGAAGACGCUAGUUCAGCCUGUAGGCCAAAAGAGACUUACCAAUGUUGCUGUUGUGCGUCUCAAGAAGCAUGGUAACCGUUUCGAAAUCGCUUGUUAUAAGAAUAAGGUCCUUUCAUGGCGCUCUGGCGUAGAGAAAGAUGUGGAUGAAGUGUUACAGUCACAUACUGUUUACACCAAUGUGUCAAAGGGUGUACUUGCAAAGUCUAAAGAUUUGAUUAGGGCUUUUGGAACUGAUGAUCAAACCAAAAUCUGCCUGGAGAUUUUGGACAAAGGAGAGCUACAGGUUGCAGGGAAGGAGAGAGAAUCACAGUUGUCAAGUCAGUUCAGAGAUAUUGCUACCAUAGUUAUGCAGAAGACAAUCAAUCCUGAAACUCAGCAUCCAUACACUAUUAGCAUGAUUGAACGUCUGAUGCAUGAAAUCCAUUUUGCAGUUGAUCCAAAUAGCAGCUCAAAGAAACAGGCACUGGAGGUCAUUCGGGAGCUUCAAAAGCAUUACCCCGUAAAACGUGCCCCCAUGAGGUUGAGGAUUCAUGUACCAGAACAAAGCAAUCCUUCUGUCCUGGACAAGCUUAAGGAGUGGAAUGCCUCCAUUGUGUCAAGAGAAGAAUUUGGAAGUCAGCACUCCAUUAUUUGUGAAAUUGAGCCUAGUCUUUUCCGGGACUGUGAUGCCUUAAUAAGGAAUCUACAGGGUAGAGUGGAAAUUCUUGCAGUCAAUGUACAUGUGGAGGGGGAUACUUUCGUCGAUCAGUUUGAUGAUCACGAGGAUGAUUCAUCAAGUUUAAGGAAGGAUUCUACAAGUUCAGUCCUUCAGCUGAGUGAGAAAAUGCAAAAGCAGACUAUUUCUUCAGAAAUCGGGAAUUCUAGGGAAGAACAGAAACUGAGUAAACCUGCAAAAAGUGGGAGUUCCGAGGGCGAAGUAAAACUGAACAGGUGCACUACUUGCAAUGCUGUUGUGGGAGAUUCAAAAGAAUACAGAGAGCAUUUCAAGAGUGACUGGCAUAAGCAUAACCUAAGGCGUAAAACUAGACAACUCCCUCCACUUACAGCUGAAGAAUGUGUGGCUGACCUGGAACUUGGAGACUCGAAGGCUGAUCUAAAAGAAUAUUCAUUUUGAGGUUGGAAUAAUAUUCCUUAGCUACAGACUUGUAAUUUACAUGAUUAAAGACAUGCCUAGCAAGACUUUGAGGAAAACAUAUAAUAUAGAGAAAUGGUGAUAAAGAUAUUUUGCU
This 1277-nucleotide unclassified non-coding RNA is filed under the name Hevea brasiliensis (rubber tree). The record is from RNAcentral. Lineage: Eukaryota; Viridiplantae; Streptophyta; Magnoliopsida; Malpighiales; Euphorbiaceae.